Molecule: ribosomal RNA, 497 nt
Filed under: uncultured bacterium
Lineage: Bacteria
Description: partial 16S ribosomal RNA
Rfam family: Bacterial small subunit ribosomal RNA
Source: RNAcentral
GAUGAACGCUGGCGGCGUGCCUAAUACAUGCAAGUCGAGCGAACAGACGAGGAGCUUGCUCCUCUGACGUUAGCGGCGGACGGGUGAGUAACACGUGGAUAACCUACCUAUAAGACUGGGAUAACUUCGGGAAACCGGAGCUAAUACCGGAGAAUAUAUUGAACCGCAUGGUUCUAUAGUGAAAGACGGUUUUGCUGUAGCUUAUAGCUGGAUCCGCGCCGCAUUAGCUAGUUGGUAAGGUAACGGCUUACCAAGGCAACGAUGCGUAGCCGACCUGAGAGGGUGAUCGGCCACACUGGAACUGAGACACGGUCCAGACUCCUACGGGAGGCAGCAGUAGGGAAUCUUCCGGAAUGGGCGAAAGCCUGACGGAGCAACGACGCGUGAGUGAUGAAGGUCGUCGGAUCGUAAAACUCUGUUAUUAGGGAAGAACAAAUGUGUAAGUAACUAUGCACGUCUUGACGGUACCUAAUCAGAAAGCCACGGCUAACUACGUG